Molecule: ribosomal RNA, 741 nt
Filed under: Arthrobacter sp. CB 286522
Lineage: Bacteria; Bacillati; Actinomycetota; Actinomycetes; Micrococcales; Micrococcaceae
Description: bacterial SSU rRNA
Rfam family: Bacterial small subunit ribosomal RNA
Source: RNAcentral
GCACCGGGGAUUAGUGGCGAACGGGUGAGUAACACGUGAGUAACCUGCCCUUAACUCUGGGAUAAGCCUGGGAAACUGGGUCUAAUACCGGAUAUGACUCCUCAUCGCAUGGUGGGGGGUGGAAAGCUUUAUUGUGGUUUUGGAUGGACUCGCGGCCUAUCAGCUUGUUGGUGAGGUAAUGGCUCACCAAGGCGACGACGGGUAGCCGGCCUGAGAGGGUGACCGGCCACACUGGGACUGAGACACGGCCCAGACUCCUACGGGAGGCAGCAGUGGGGAAUAUUGCACAAUGGGCGAAAGCCUGAUGCAGCGACGCCGCGUGAGGGAUGACGGCCUUCGGGUUGUAAACCUCUUUCAGUAGGGAAGAAGCGAAAGUGACGGUACCUGCAGAAGAAGCGCCGGCUAACUACGUGCCAGCAGCCGCGGUAAUACGUAGGGCGCAAGCGUUAUCCGGAAUUAUUGGGCGUAAAGAGCUCGUAGGCGGUUUGUCGCGUCUGCCGUGAAAGUCCGGGGCUCAACUCCGGAUCUGCGGUGGGUACGGGCAGACUAGAGUGAUGUAGGGGAGACUGGAAUUCCUGGUGUAGCGGUGAAAUGCGCAGAUAUCAGGAGGAACACCGAUGGCGAAGGCAGGUCUCUGGGCAUUAACUGACGCUGAGGAGCGAAAGCAUGGGGAGCGAACAGGAUUAGAUACCCUGGUAGUCCAUGCCGUAAACGUUGGGCACUAGGUGUGGGGGACAUUCC